RNAcentral lists this ribosomal RNA (252 nucleotides) under uncultured bacterium. RNAcentral describes it as "partial 16S ribosomal RNA". It matches the Rfam family "Bacterial small subunit ribosomal RNA", at positions 524 to 776 of the family's 1533-position model. The record is from RNAcentral.
UACGUAGGGGGCAAGCGUUGUCCGGAAUUAUUGGGCGUAAAGCGCGCGCAGGCGGCCUUUUAAGUCUGGGGUAUAAUCCCGGGGCUCAACCCCGGUUCGCCUUGGAAACUGGGAGGCUUGAGUGCAGGAGAGGGAAGUGGAAUUCCACGUGUAGCGGUGAUAUGCGUAGAGAUGUGGAGGAACACCAGUGGCGAAGGCGACUUUCUGGCCUGUAACUGACGCUGAGGCGCGAAAGCGUGGGGAGCAAACAGG